CUUUAACGGCCGCAGUACUCUGACUGUGCUAAGGUAGCAUAAUCAUUUGUCUUUUAAUUGAAGACUGGAAUGAAUGGCAUCAUGGAGAUAGUCUGUCUUAAAAGCAUUUUUUAAAAUUUUCUGAAGAGGUGAAAAUACCUCUAAAUUGCCAAAAUAAGACGAGAAGACCCUUAGAAUUAUAACAAUACUCUUUUUGAGGAACGUUUUUGUUGGGGCAACAUGAUUAGAUUGUAACUGAUCGAAAUUAAAUUAGACAUAGCCACUAUAAUAAAAAAGAAUUUAAUUACCUAAGGGAUAACAGCAUAAUUCAAAUAUGAGAGUAUGACCUCGAUGUUGGACUAGGGACUUUUACCAUUAGAUGUGGUAAUAAGAUUGUUCUGUUCGAACAAUGGAACCCUACGUGAUCUGAGUUCAG
RNAcentral lists this ribosomal RNA (415 nucleotides) under Mastus sp. 'procax/hemmeni'. RNAcentral describes it as "Mastus procax/hemmeni partial 16S ribosomal RNA". It matches the Rfam family "Bacterial large subunit ribosomal RNA", at positions 1922 to 2614 of the family's 2925-position model. Lineage: Eukaryota; Metazoa; Mollusca; Gastropoda; Stylommatophora; Enidae. The record is from RNAcentral.